Molecule: long non-coding RNA, 812 nt
Organism: Sarcophilus harrisii (Tasmanian devil)
Lineage: Eukaryota; Metazoa; Chordata; Mammalia; Dasyuromorphia; Dasyuridae
Exons: 2
Source: RefSeq, a predicted model, not a curated record
AGAACUGAAAGCAGUCUUUUUAAAGAUAUAUCUGAAAAUGGUCAUAUGCUUAAAAAAAUUAAGUCAGCCCGUUUUGUUUCCUCCCUAAAAAUUUAGUUCCUUUGAUUCCUUAAAAAGAGUUUACUUUAAUAUAUUCCAUUUAAUGAGAAAGACUAAAACCACUUUUUAGUUCUGGUAGUUCCAGAAAAGUUCUCCAUAGAAAUCUCUGGGCGUAAGGGCCGCUGCACGUGCCGGUAGUGGCUAACUUUGCCACUCUCAACGACCAAACUUGGAGGAUGCACGCCUGUCACCUCGGACAUAUGGCACGUACGGCUCACGCCAGGGCAGAACGUUAACCAGUUCAGCGACAGAAACAGACUUUCAUUGGGAUGGUGAGGUGCUCGUCCCUGUAGUCCUCGCUCCCGGCGCCAGGGAGCCCCACAGCUAGAUCCCAGUCAGAUCAAGGACUUUUACUUAUCCUGACUCUGGCUGAUUCUGAGGCCUUCAGGGGACUAACCUGGACUUCACAGUUAUCUUGCUGCACAAGAAAAAUCAGAUCUAGAAAGAAAGAAAAAAUCCAAGAAGGAAAACAAAAAUGCAAGCAAACAAUAACAGAAAGAGUGGAAAUGCUAUGUUGUCACACCCAAAUUUCAAAGCUCCCAAGUUAAGGAGAAAAUAUUGGAAGCAACAAGAAAAAAACUUAAAUAUCAUGGAGCUACAAUGAGGAUUACAUAAAAUCUAGCAGUUACAUUGAAGGACCAUAGGUCUUGGAAUACUAUAUUUCACAGAUCAAAAGAACUGGGGUUAUGACCAAGGGUAACAGAAAAGUUAAG